Molecule: ribosomal RNA, 508 nt
Filed under: uncultured bacterium
Lineage: Bacteria
Description: partial 16S ribosomal RNA
Rfam family: Bacterial small subunit ribosomal RNA
Source: RNAcentral
AUUGAACGCUGGCGGCAUGCCUUACACAUGCAAGUCGAACGGCAGCGGGGGAGAAGCUUGCUUUUCCUGCCGGCGAGUGGCGAACGGGUGAGUAAUACAUCGGAACGUGCCCUGUAGUGGGGGAUAACUAGUCGAAAGAUUAGCUAAUACCGCAUACGACCUGAGGGUGAAAGUGGGGGACCGCAAGGCCUCAUGCUAUAGGAGCGGCCGAUGUCUGAUUAGCUAGUUGGUGGGGUAAAGGCCUACCAAGGCGACGAUCAGUAGCUGGUCUGAGAGGACGAUCAGACACGCUGGGACUGAGACACGGCCCAGACUCCUACGGGAGGCAGCAGUGGGGAAUUUUGGACAAUGGGCGAAAGCCUGAUCCAGCAAUGCCGCGUGUGUGAAGAAGGCCUUCGGGUUGUAAAGCACUUUUGUCCGGAAAGAAAUGGCUCUGGUUAAUACCUGGGGUCGAUGACGGUACCGGAAGAAUAAGGACCGGCUAACUACGUGCCAGCAGCCGCGGUAA